RNAcentral lists this ribosomal RNA (561 nucleotides) under uncultured bacterium. RNAcentral describes it as "bacterial SSU rRNA". It matches the Rfam family "Bacterial small subunit ribosomal RNA", at positions 338 to 913 of the family's 1533-position model. The record is from RNAcentral.
CCUACGGGAGGCAGCAGUGGGGAAUCUUGCGCAAUGGGCGAAAGCCUGACGCAGCAACGCCGCGUGCGGGAAGAAGGCCCUAGGGUUGUAAACCGCUUUCAGUAGGAACGAAAAUGACGGUACCUGCAGAAGAAGGUGCGGCCAACUACGUGCCAGCAGCCGCGGUGACACGUAGGCACCAAGCGUUGUCCGGAUUUAUUGGGCGUAAAGAGCUCGUAGGCGGUUCAGUAAGUCGGGUGUGAAAACUCUGGGCUUAACCCAGAGCCGCCACUCGAUACUGCUGUGACUUGAGUUCGGUAGGGGAGCAGGGAAUUCCUAGUGUAGCGGUGAAAUGCGCAGAUAUUAGGAGGAACACCGGUGGCGAAGGCGCUGCUCUGGGCCGAUACUGACGCUGAGGAGCGAAAGCGUGGGUAGCAAACAGGAUUAGAUACCCUGGUAGUCCACGCCGUAAACGUUGGGCACUAGGUGUGGGUUCCAACCAACGGAAUCCGCGCCGUCGCUAACGCAUUAAGUGCCCCGCCUGGGGAGUACGGCGGCAACGCUAAAACUCAAAUGAAUUGA